AUAUGAAGGCCUUCAACGAUAAUUAUUGAAACAAGUUCAUCAAAUAAUAGUACUGUUUUUUGUGUUUUUUUUUUUUUCUAAAAACCAAAAUGAAAGAAUGGUACAAAAGAAAAGAACAUUGAUUAAUAUGAAAAAUUGACCAUUCGAUUUGUUUGUUUCCAACAAAUUGACAAUUCUUUAUGUAUGAUAUAGGAAUUUUUGUCUGUGUGAGAAAAAAG
RNAcentral lists this long non-coding RNA (218 nucleotides) under Capsella rubella. Its description in RNAcentral is "long non-coding RNA (CRUB_LNC004869)". The record is from RNAcentral. Lineage: Eukaryota; Viridiplantae; Streptophyta; Magnoliopsida; Brassicales; Brassicaceae.